Molecule: small RNA, 1145 nt
Filed under: Human betaherpesvirus 5
Lineage: Duplodnaviria; Heunggongvirae; Peploviricota; Herviviricetes; Herpesvirales; Orthoherpesviridae
Description: RNA5.0
Source: RNAcentral
AACACCCACAAACAACGUCACGACGCAACGUGGUUAAACAGUACGUUUAUUAAAGUAACUGGGUGAACGACACCGGAGCGGACUGCAAAUCGCAACGCUACUUUCUCGAGUGCAGAUACUCUUCGAGACGGCUAAACAACGUGUCCAACUCGCUGAGACCUUUCCGCGUGCCGUUAUCCGAUUUCCUUUCCGCCUCCUGAGACAGCCGACUAAUCACGGACUUAUCUCCGCAACCUAACAGAGGCUGGGAGCCCGACAAAAGUAAAACAGCGUGCUAUGAACACGUUGUUACCUCUGCGCGGACAGCGCCGCCACAGAGACACUUACGCAUUGCCGCAUGUCUUUGUAGAUGGAUUCUAGCGUCGAGCGCAUACUAUGCAAUUCCGUCUUAAGUCCGGGAUAGACGUGGUCGCCUGCGGGGAACACGAUCUCCAGAUACCGCCUCAACAACCAGUCCAUGACGCUGCAUCCCCAACAGCCUUUGACCACCGUACCGUCGAGCCACACGGAGUAGUCGUCCUCGCGUUGCUACAAGAGGAAAACUACGUCACCCGACACGCGGAAAAGAAAGACCGUCGCAAUAAACCGUACCUACGUGACCUACCAACGUAGGUUUUACUCGAUGAAAGGUGACGCGGAGAUCUUGCAAUCUGGUCGCGUAAUCCUCUGGACGACACUGCGGCUUUGUAUUCUUUAUCGUCGUCGUCGUUGCCGGCUUCGCCUCCUCGGAAGCGCCUAGAAAAAAGACAAUCAGGACCAGAGAGGAAGAGACCAUCACCGACAGCAUCGCCGCAGCAUGCCGCCCCAAUCCGCCGCCCAACUGCGCGUCCCAGAUACCACUCGUAGACUGUCAGCCUCGCGAGGAGACACCGCGGACCGGGGAAACGGAUAAGUUUACGAACAGAAAUCUCAAGAGAAAGACGCUGACCCGGCAAGUACCGUCACGGAGACACGGUGGUUUUUAUUGAAUUUCCAGUGUAUCGAGCCACCGUGAUGCAGGUACGGUGGUUUUAUGUGAAGUGCCGCUAUCUAUAGGCGAUGUGUUCCCUGACGGUGUGUGUUUUUUGGGGAUAGACAACGUGGUUCUUGUACGUGGUUUUUACCCUGCUCAAUAAAGUCACGUUUUCCUUACACGGUGUUGUGUC